ACAAAGGCUCUUUUCAGAGCCACCCACGUCAUCCGACAAAGAGCUG
Molecule: non-coding RNA, 46 nt
Organism: Myotis brandtii (Brandt's bat)
Lineage: Eukaryota; Metazoa; Chordata; Mammalia; Chiroptera; Vespertilionidae
Source: Rfam